Molecule: ribosomal RNA, 262 nt
Filed under: uncultured archaeon
Lineage: Archaea
Description: partial 16S ribosomal RNA
Rfam family: Archaeal small subunit ribosomal RNA
Source: RNAcentral
ACGUCUACAUUAGAUACCCGCGUAGUCCCAGCCGUAAACUAUGCGCGUUAGGUGUAUCGGUGACCACGAGUCACCGAGGUGCCGAAGGGAAACCGUGAAACGUGCCGCCUGGGAAGUACGGUCGCAAGGCUGAAACUUAAGGAAUUGGCGGGGGAGCACCACAACAGGUGGAGCCUGCGGUUUAAUUGGACUCAACGCCGGGAAGCUCACCGGAUAGGACAGCAGAAUGAUUGCCGGGCUGAAGACCCUGCAUGACUAGCUG